AUUGAACGCUGGCGGCAGGCUUAACACAUGCAAGUCGAGCGGUAACAGAGAGAAGCUUGCUUCUCUGCUGACGAGCGGCGGACGGGUGAGUAAUGCCUAGGAAUCUGCCUAGUAGUGGGGGAUAACUUGCCGAAAGGUAAGCUAAUACCGCAUACGUCCUACGGGAGAAAGGAGGGGACCUUCGGGCCUUUCGCUAUUAGAUGAGCCUAGGUCGGAUUAGUUAGUUGGUGAGGUAAUGGCUCACCAAGACCGCGAUCCGUAACUGGUCUGAGAGGAUGAUCAGUCACACUGGAACUGAGACACGGUCCAGACUCCUACGGGAGGCAGCAGUGGGGAAUAUUGGACAAUGGGGGGAACCCUGAUCCAGCCAUGCCGCGUGUGUGAAGAAGGUCUUAGGACUGUAAAGCACUUUAAGUUGGGAGGAAGAGCAGUUAACUAAUAUUUGACUGUUUUGACGUUACCGACAGAAUAAGCACCGGCUAACUUCGUG
RNAcentral lists this ribosomal RNA (490 nucleotides) under uncultured bacterium. RNAcentral's name for it is "partial 16S ribosomal RNA". It matches the Rfam family "Bacterial small subunit ribosomal RNA", at positions 30 to 507 of the family's 1533-position model. The record is from RNAcentral.